This 253-nucleotide ribosomal RNA is filed under the name uncultured bacterium. RNAcentral describes it as "partial 16S ribosomal RNA". It matches the Rfam family "Bacterial small subunit ribosomal RNA", at positions 524 to 776 of the family's 1533-position model. The record is from RNAcentral.
UACGGGGGGGGCAAGCGUUGUUCGGAAUUACUGGGCGUAAAGGGCUCGUAGGUGGCCAACUAAGUCAGACGUGAAAUCCCUCGGCUUAACCGGGGAACUGCGUCUGAUACUGGAUGGCUUGAGUUUGGGAGAGGGACGCGGAAUUCCAGGUGUAGCGGUGAAAUGCGUAGAUAUCGGAAGGAACACCUGUGGCGAAAGCGGCUCACUGGACCAUUACUGACGCUGAUGUACGAAAGCUAGGGGAGCAAACAGG